UUAAGCGACUAAGCGUACACGGUGGAUGCCCUGGCAGUCAGAGGCGAUGAAGGACGUGCUAAUCUGCGAAAAGCGCCGGCGAGGUGAUAUGAACCUUUGACCCGGCGAUGUCCGAAUGGGGAAACCCAGUGCAAUUCGUUGCACUAUCGUUAACUGAAUACAUAGGUUAACGAGGCGAACCGGGGGAACUGAAACAUCUAAGUACCCCGAGGAAAAGAAAUCAACCGAGAUUCCCCCAGUAGCGGCGAGCGAACGGGGAGCAGCCCAGAGUCUGAAUCAGCUUGUGUGUUAGUGGAAGCGUCUGGAAAGUCGCACGGUACAGGGUGACAGUCCCGUACACGAAAGCACACAGGUUGUGAACUCGAAGAGUAGGGCGGGACACGUGGUAUCCUGUCUGAAUAUGGGGGGACCAUCCUCCAAGGCUAAAUACUCCUGACUGACCGAUAGUGAACCAGUACCGUGAGGGAAAGGCGAAAAGAACCCCGGCGAGGGGAGUGAAAAAGAACCUGAAACCGUGUACGUACAAGCAGUGGGAGCACCUUCGUGGUGUGACUGCGUACCUUUUGUAUAAUGGGUCAGCGACUUAUAUUCUGUAGCAAGGUUAACCGUAUAGGGGAGCCGAAGGGAAACCGAGUCUUAACUGGGCGUUAAGUUGCAGGGUAUAGACCCGAAACCCGGUGAUCUAGCCAUGGGCAGGUUGAAGGUUGGGUAACACUAACUGGAGGACCGAACCGACUAAUGUUGAAAAAUUAGCGGAUGACUUGUGGCUGGGGGUGAAAGGCCAAUCAAACCGGGAGAUAGCUGGUUCUCCCCGAAAGCUAUUUAGGUAGCGCCUCGUGAACUCAUCUUCGGGGGUAGAGCACUGUUUCGGCUAGGGGGCCAUCCCGGCUUACCAACCCGAUGCAAACUACGAAUACCGAAGAAUGUUAUCACGGGAGACACACGGCGGGUGCUAACGUCCGUCGUGAAGAGGGAAACAACCCAGACCGCCAGCUAAGGUCCCAAAGUCAUGGUUAAGUGGGAAACGAUGUGGGAAGGCACAGACAGCCAGGAUGUUGGCUUAGAAGCAGCCAUCAUUUAAAGAAAGCGUAAUAGCUCACUGGUCGAGUCGGCCUGCGCGGAAGAUGUAACGGGGCUAAACCAUGCACCGAAGCUGCGGCAGCGACGCUUAUGCGUUGUUGGGUAGGGGAGCGUUCUGUAAGCCGUUGAAGGUGUGCUGUGAGGCAUGCUGGAGGUAUCAGAAGUGCGAAUGCUGACAUAAGUAACGAUAAAGCGGGUGAAAAGCCCGCUCGCCGGAAGACCAAGGGUUCCUGUCCAACGUUAAUCGGGGCAGGGUGAGUCGACCCCUAAGGCGAGGCCGAAAGGCGUAGUCGAUGGGAAACAGGUUAAUAUUCCUGUACUUGGUGUUACUGCGAAGGGGGGACGGAGAAGGCUAUGUUAGCCGGGCGACGGUUGUCCCGGUUUAAGCAUGUAGGCGGAACGAUUAGGUAAAUCCGGUCGUUUAUUAACGCUGAGGUGUGAUGACGAGGCACUACGGUGCUGAAGUAACAAAUGCCCUGCUUCCAGGAAAAGCCUCUAAGCAUCAGGUAACACGAAAUCGUACCCCAAACCGACACAGGUGGUCAGGUAGAGAAUACCAAGGCGCUUGAGAGAACUCGGGUGAAGGAACUAGGCAAAAUGGUGCCGUAACUUCGGGAGAAGGCACGCUGAUAUGUAGGUGAAGCCCCUGCGGGUGGAGCUGAAAUCAGUCGAAGAUACCAGCUGGCUGCAACUGUUUAUUAAAAACACAGCACUGUGCAAACACGAAAGUGGACGUAUACGGUGUGACGCCUGCCCGGUGCCGGAAGGUUAAUUGAUGGGGUUAGCGGUAACGCGAAGCUCUUGAUCGAAGCCCCGGUAAACGGCGGCCGUAACUAUAACGGUCCUAAGGUAGCGAAAUUCCUUGUCGGGUAAGUUCCGACCUGCACGAAUGGCGUAAUGAUGGCCAGGCUGUCUCCACCCGAGACUCAGUGAAAUUGAACUCGCUGUGAAGAUGCAGUGUACCCGCGGCAAGACGGAAAGACCCCGUGAACCUUUACUAUAGCUUGACACUGAACACUGGUCCUUGAUGUGUAGGAUAGGUGGGAGGCUUUGAAGCGUGGACGCCAGUCUGCGUGGAGCCGACCUUGAAAUACCACCCUUUAAUGGCUGGUGUUCUAACGUAGACCCGUAAUCCGGGUUGCGGACAGUGUCUGGUGGGUAGUUUGACUGGGGCGGUCUCCUCCCAAAGAGUAACGGAGGAGCACGAAGGUUAGCUAAUCCUGGUCGGACAUCAGGAGGUUAGUGCAAUGGCAUAAGCUAGCUUGACUGCGAGAGUGACGGCUCGAGCAGGUGCGAAAGCAGGUCAUAGUGAUCCGGUGGUUCUGAAUGGAAGGGCCAUCGCUCAACGGAUAAAAGGUACUCCGGGGAUAACAGGCUGAUACCGCCCAAGAGUUCAUAUCGACGGCGGUGUUUGGCACCUCGAUGUCGGCUCAUCACAUCCUGGGGCUGAAGUAGGUCCCAAGGGUAUGGCUGUUCGCCAUUUAAAGUGGUACGCGAGCUGGGUUUAGAACGUCGUGAGACAGUUCGGUCCCUAUCUGCCGUGGGCGCUGGAGAAUUGAGGGGGGCUGCUCCUAGUACGAGAGGACCGGAGUGGACGCAUCACUGGUGUUCGGGUUGUCAUGCCAAUGGCACUGCCCGGUAGCUAAAUGCGGAAAAGAUAAGUGCUGAAAGCAUCUAAGCACGAAACUUGCCCCGAGAUGAGUUCUCCCUGACCCUUUAAGGGUCCUGAAGGAACGUUGAAGACUACGACGUUGAUAGGUCGGGUGUGUAAGCGCAGCGAUGCGUUGAGCUAACCGAUACUAAUGAACCGUGAGGCUUAACCUU
RNAcentral lists this ribosomal RNA (2904 nucleotides) under Enterobacter asburiae. RNAcentral describes it as "23S ribosomal RNA". It matches the Rfam family "Bacterial large subunit ribosomal RNA". Lineage: Bacteria; Pseudomonadati; Pseudomonadota; Gammaproteobacteria; Enterobacterales; Enterobacteriaceae. The record is from RNAcentral. RNAcentral also lists the same sequence under 1 other name.